ACGGUCCUAAGGUAGCGAAAUUCCUUGUCGGGUAAGUUCCGACCCGCACGAAAGGCGUAAUGAUUUGGGCACUGUCUCAACAAUGCACCCGGUGAAAUUGAAAUACCAGUGAAGAUGCUGGUUACCUGCGCCAGGACGGAAAGACCCCAUGGAGCUUUACUCCAGCUUGAUACUGGGAUUCGAUAUUGCAUGUACAGGAUAGGUGGGAGACUGAGAACUGAUGACGCCAGUUGUCAGGGAGUCACUGUUGGGAUACCACCCUUGUAGUAUUGGAUUUCUAACCAGCAGCCGUGAACCGGCUGGGGGACAAUGUCAGGUGGGGAGUUUGACUGGGGCGGUCGCCUCCGAAAGGGUAUCGGAGGCGCUCAAAGGUUCCCUCAGAAUGGUUGGAAACCAUUCGAAGAGUGCAAAGGCAGAAGGGAGCUUGACUGCGACACCGACGGGUGGAGCAGGUACGAAAGUAGGACUUAGUGAUCCGGUGGUAUAAAGUGGGAUUGCCAUCGCUCAACGGAUAAAAGCUACCCUGGGGAUAACAGGCUUAUCACUCCCAAGAGUUCACAUCGACGGAGUGGUUUGGCACCUCGAUGUCGGCUCAUCGCAUCCUGGGGCUGAAGUAGGUCCCAAGGGUUGGGCUGUUCGCCCAUUAAAGCGGUACGCGAGCUGGGUUCAGAACGUCGUGAGACAGUUCGGUCCCUAUCCGGCGUGGGCGUAGGAUAUUUGAGAGGAGCUGCCCUUAGUACGAGAGGACCGGGGUGGACUGGCCGCUGGUGGAUCUGUUGUAUUACCAAAUGCAUAGCAGAGUAGCCAAGCCGGGACGGGAUAAACGCUGAAGGCAUCUAAGCGUGAAGCCCCCCUCAAGAUGAGAUAUCCCAUAACGUCAAGUUAGUAAGACCCCUUGAAGACGACGAGGUAGAUAGGGCAGAGGUGGAAGUGCGGUAACGCAUGGAGCUGACUGUUACUAAUAGGUCGAGGGCAUAACCAA
Molecule: ribosomal RNA, 982 nt
Filed under: human gut metagenome
Description: bacterial LSU rRNA
Rfam family: Bacterial large subunit ribosomal RNA
Source: RNAcentral